Molecule: ribosomal RNA, 1411 nt
Filed under: uncultured bacterium
Lineage: Bacteria
Description: 16S ribosomal RNA
Rfam family: Bacterial small subunit ribosomal RNA
Source: RNAcentral
AACACAUGCAAGUCGAGCGGAAACGAUGGUAGCUUGCUACCAGGCGUCGAGCGGCGGACGGGUGAGUAACGCGUAGGAAUCUGCCUAGUAGAGGGGGACAACAUGUGGAAACGCAUGCUAAUACCGCAUACGCCCUGAGGGGGAAAGGAGGGGACUCUUCGGAGCCUUCCGCUAUUGGAUGAGCCUGCGUGAGAUUAGCCAGUUGGUAGGGUAAAGGCCUACCAAGGCGACGAUCACUAACUGGUCUGAGAGGAUGACCAGUCACACUGGGACUGAGACACGGCCCAGACUCCUACGGGAGGCAGCAGUGGGGAAUAUUGGACAAUGGGGGAAACCCUGAUCCAGCCAUGCCGCGUGUGUGAAGAAGGCCUUUUGGUUGUAAAGCACUUUAAGCAGUGAAGAAGACUCCGUGGUUAAUACCCACGGACGAUGACAUUAGCUGCAGAAUAAGCACCGGCUAACUCUGUGCCAGCAGCCGCGGUAAUACAGAGGGUGCAAGCGUUAAUCGGAAUUACUGGGCGUAAAGGGAGCGUAGGUGGCUCGAUAAGUCAGAUGUGAAAUCCCCGGGCUCAACCUGGGAACUGCAUCUGAUACUGUUGAGCUAGAGUAUGUGAGAGGAAGGUAGAAUUCCAGGUGUAGCGGUGAAAUGCGUAGAGAUCUGGAGGAAUACCGAUGGCGAAGGCAGCCUUCUGGCAUAAUACUGACACUGAGGCUCGAAAGCGUGGGUAGCAAACAGGAUUAGAUACCCUGGUAGUCCACGCCGUAAACGAUGUCUACUAGUCGUUGGGUCCCUUGAGGACUUAGUGACGCAGCUAACGCAAUAAGUAGACCGCCUGGGGAGUACGGCUGCAAGGUUAAAACUCAAAUGAAUUGACGGAGGCCCGCACAAGCGGUGGAGCAUGUGGUUUAAUUCGAUGCAACGCGAAGAACCUUACCUGGUCUUGACAUAUCUAGAAUCCUGCAGAGAUGCGGGAGUGCCUUCGGGAAUUAGAAUACAGGUGCUGCAUGGCUGUCGUCAGCUCGUGUCGUGAGAUGUUGGGUUAAGUCCCGCAACGAGCGCAACCCUUGUCCUUAGUUACCAGCGGGUUAAGCCGGGAACUCUAAGGAUACUGCCAGUGACAAACUGGAGGAAGGCGGGGACGACGUCAAGUCAUCAUGGCCCUUACGACCAGGGCUACACACGUGCUACAAUGGUAGGUACAGAGGGCAGCUACACAGCGAUGUGAUGCGAAUCUCAAAAAGCCUAUCGUAGUCCAGAUUGGAGUCUGCAACUCGACUCCAUGAAGUAGGAAUCGCUAGUAAUCGCGGAUCAGAAUGCCGCGGUGAAUACGUUCCCGGGCCUUGUACACACCGCCCGUCACACCAUGGGAGUUGAUUGCACCAGAAGUGGAUAGCUUAACUUCGGGGAGGC